CAAACAUCUGUAACUCCAGGUCCAGGGAACCUGCUGAACCUGCCACCCUCUUCUGGCCUCUGCGGGUCCUGUACUCACCUGGUGCACAGAGUGGGAAGACGGCCUAGUCAGUAAAAGCCUUCUUGGUACAACCUUGGAUGACCCGGAAAGAUGAGUUUGCAGUGAGGAACUCCGAGAUCAGGUUGGCCCGUGGCUGCCUCUGUAGGGAGUGCGGUUUGCACUGACAGAGGUGUGGAGAACCUUGUGGAAGGUGGGCGGCAGCACGUCCUGAGCCGGGCCAAGGACGCGUGAGCGUAAAGAAGAAGAGCUAAGCACAACAGGAGGCGGGCAAGAAAGGAUGAGUUCACUGUCCCUUUGCUCUUGACCACGGAUGGGGUGUGGCCAGCUGCUUCGGGGCCUCCCUUGCUUUCCCUGGGAUAAUGAACCUUAACCUGGAGUUGUAAAGUGAAUGAACUCUUUUUCCCCCUCCACAACCUCUUGCCUCUCUCUCUCUCUCUCUCUCUCUCUCUCUCUCUCUCUCUCUCUCUGUGUGUGUGUGUGUGUGUGUGUGUGUGUGUGUGUGUGCCACUUGCAUGUAGAUGCUGGAAGGGACCAGAGGAGAGUGUCACAUCUCCUGGACCUGCAGUUACAGUCAGCUUUAUGGAUGAUGGGAACUGAACCCAAGCCAUCUGCAAUAGCAGCUGGGGUUCGUAGUGGUGAGCUGUCUCUCCGGACCCUGGAAGGCACUCUGAAUCUUCUUUUUUUUUUUGCUGUGCAGGGUUUCCCCCACUAUAACUCUCCCACCUAAAGUUGCCAGGUUAAACAAACAACAACAACCACGGAAGAAAGGACAGUUAAAUCUGAAUUUCAAAGAGGUUCGUCCUUCUUUUCUGAGGAAACUCUGCAUGGGGAAUGCCGGUAACCAACAUGGACCCCCGGGGAUGUAAACCCUCACGAUGUCAAAAGUAGGACAAAGGACUGGAACCAAGUUUCAGCCCUCUCCUCUAGAAGGCAGAGGCAAACCGGAGGUUGAACAAUAAUAGAGGGGUGCAUCGUGACUGUUGUCUCUCCCGCAAGAUUUAGAGGGCCUAAG
Non-coding RNA from Myodes glareolus (Bank vole), 1072 nucleotides. Lineage: Eukaryota; Metazoa; Chordata; Mammalia; Rodentia; Cricetidae. The record is from RefSeq and is a predicted model, not a curated record.